ACAAAGUGGCCAGCCCACCUUUUUCUCCAACGGAGAGAGAUGGCAUCUGCCACUUUCUCUGCAAUUUCAGGGAGCAGCGAGGUCUCCUCUUCCAUUUCAGUGGGCCGCCUUUCUCUCCCCGCAGAGUCGCGGUCUCUAUCUCAUCUUCUCUCGAUCUCUCUCUCCGCGGGGAGCGCGGAUUUAAUUCCACCGUGUGCACUGGCGUAAGACGAUGUCGAUGGAAGGGGAUUGGAGUUUACGAACACCGGCGAUAGAGAAGGUAGGGAAUGGAGCUGCGGUGUGACCUAUGGAAACCGAAAAUUUGAGUCUUUCCGGAGAAUCGUAACUGUACGAAUUGGACGAAUCGUGCAAGUGAUGAACACGAUGAAAUUUUUUGUCAAGACCUUGGAAGUUACCAAUUCCGAGAGCGAAGUACUAGUGAUUGGUAAACCAAAAGAGACAGCUCCACUGAGAUAAGAAGCGACUCGGACCCCGACGAGAGCACCGCCGUUCACAACACUCUCGCCACCAUCGAGAAUUUGAUGGAGGUGAAGCACGGAACAUUCCCCAAAAAUCUGAAACGCAGAUCUUUCCCCAAAUUAAAAAUUCCUGUGAAUUUCAUAGGCGGACGACGGGAAUAGAGAACUCCUUACCCUGAAAUUUCCGAGGGAUCCAAAGGCGACGAGACGUGCCCAGAUGUUUACGAUUUUGGAUUGAACCCAAUUUUUACAUCUGGGUGGAUGCCAUUGCCAUCUCUCUCCUUGGAGAAGAAGGUGGGUGGGCCCCUUGUAAUUUUAAAUUUUGUUUUAAUUUAUUUUUAUUUUGAAUUUAAUUAUUUUAAUUUUUAAGUAUUUUUAUUUUCCAUGUCAUCAAAACAUUUGGACCUUAUAUUUGUUACGUCAUCACUUAACUGUCAAACUAAUGAUUUGAUUAACGGAUAUAUGAAAUUGCAAUGAAAUGAUAAUUAAAGUAUGAAAUUGAAAUAUUUUAAAGAUAAUGUAUUAGUUUUAAAGAUAAUGUAUUAAUCUUAAAGAAUUUGAAAAA
This 1023-nucleotide long non-coding RNA is filed under the name Malus domestica (apple). RNAcentral's name for it is "long non-coding RNA (MDOM_LNC008965)". Lineage: Eukaryota; Viridiplantae; Streptophyta; Magnoliopsida; Rosales; Rosaceae. The record is from RNAcentral.